AUGGACGCGGCGGCGGCUCCGGGCGCCGCGGCGGGAGGGCAGCAGCAGCAGCAGCCCGCGCCUCCCCGGGCGGAGCGGCUCAACGGGGAGGUGCAGAGCCAGCUGAACCUGGAGGGCAUGCGGGCGCGCGCGGUGGGGCUCUACAAGGCCAUCUCCCGCAUCCUCGAGGACUUCGACGCCAUCGCCCGCGUCAACCCCAGCGGCUCCCCCAAGUGGCAGGACGUGCUCGGGCAGUUUUCCAUGGUGAGCAUGGAGCUCUUCAACAUCGUGGAGGACAUCAAGAAGGUGAACAAGGGGUUCGUCGUGUACCCCAGGAACGUCAACGCCGAGAACGCUGCAAUAUCACAUCAUGUUUCCUGCUUGACCUGCGUGUGUAUCGCAGUACUGCCUGUAAUGCUGUCGUCAAAGCUCUUACCGGAGAUGGAAGUUGAGGAAACUACAAAGAGGGAACAGUUGUUGUCUGGAAUAACGAAUCUGCCCGUGCCUUCUCAAAUGGAAAAGUUAAAGGCUCGGAUAGACAUGAUUGCGAAUGCGUGUGAAACUGCUGAGAGAGUAAUCGCUGAGUGCCGUAAGACUCAUGGUCUAGGAGCCCGUCAAGGGGCAAAUCUUGGUCCUAUGUUGGACAAGGCACAAGCUGCAAAGAUACAGGAGCAGGAAAGUCUACUUAGAGCGGCAGUAAAUUAUGGUGAAGGAUUACGGGUAUCGGGAGACCAAAGGCAGAUGCAUUCAUCUCUUCCUAGCCAUCUAAUGGAAGUACUUGCUACUGGAGACGGGGCUCAUAAUUUUGGUGAUAAUUCUGGCGCCUAUCCCAAAAAUACACCAGCAUUUUCACCUAAUAAUGUCAGCGCCCAGGGAAAUCCAAUGCAGGCAUCUGGAGGACAAUUACUUGGCAGAUCUGCUCCAUCGCCUGGAACUGCCGGAACCCCUAAUUUUGAAAAUGUGUCUACUCCUCCAAUGCCAUAUGCUAACUCCCCUAGGUCAGGCACCAAUAUGAUGAAUACCCCUUCACCACAGCAACAUCUGACACCACAGCAGCAGAGGCAAAAGCUGAUGCAAGCAUCUCAGCAACAGCAGCAGCAGCUGAGGCCAUCAGCUGCUGGGAUGCUAGCACAGAGCUCGGUUCCUCAGUUACAAGAUCUACAGGGACAAGCUCAGCAAAAAGUUGCUGGCCAACAGCAGAUGCAGUACAGCCAAGCACAAGCCUUGUCACAGUUUCAGAAUAGGCAGAUGCAGGCUGCACGCAUGCAGCCAGGCAUGUCUCAGAGCCAAUUGAACCAAGGAAAUCAGUUAAGAAGCCAUUUGGGCCAGUUCACUGGAGCUGCAAACAGUGCAAUGUAUACUGCUGCACAGGCAUCUUCAAACUCACAAAUGAUGGCAAACAUACCCGGGACUAUGCAAACAAUGCAGUCACAGUCAAUGAUGCCGCAAAUGCAGCAGUUUGGUUUGACUGGUGGGCAUCCUCAGAGGAGUCAUCAAAUGAUGACCGACCAAAUGUACGGCAUGGGAGGCGCAAAUACCACGAGCAUGAUGGGAAUGCAAAUGCAGCAGCAGCAGCAGCAGCAGCAGCAACAGCAGCAGCAGCAGCAAGGGCUAUACGGGAACAUGCAAGGAGGCGGUCAGAGCUUGCAGCAGCAGGGCAUGGUGGGCCUUCAGAACCAGCAGCAGAACCAAAUGCAGAACCAGAUGCAAAAUCAGAUGCAAAACCAGCUGCAGAAUCAGAUGCCGAACCCGAACUUCCCCCAGCAGAGGCAGCAAAACCAGCAAUGA
RNAcentral lists this ribosomal RNA (1767 nucleotides) under Triticum aestivum (bread wheat). Its description in RNAcentral is "partial small subunit ribosomal RNA". Lineage: Eukaryota; Viridiplantae; Streptophyta; Magnoliopsida; Poales; Poaceae. The record is from RNAcentral.